UAUAUUUUAGUAUAUGAUGUACAUAGAAUUUUGAUUUCUAAAGGAAUAGUUUAACUCUGUUAAAUAUAA
This 69-nucleotide transfer RNA is filed under the name Ptomascopus plagiatus. RNAcentral describes it as "tRNA-Gln". The record is from RNAcentral. Lineage: Eukaryota; Metazoa; Arthropoda; Insecta; Coleoptera; Silphidae.